UCUCAUCAUACCACCUCACAUUGGACAAGUUUCAGCAAUCAUUUAUUGAGCACUUGAAUACAGACGAAGUUCUGUUCCAGGAUUCAGAGGGAAUGGUCUUAUCUACCUCCCACCUUUCCUACAUUUAUCUCUUCUUUCUCUUUCUCAGCACAAGCUCAGCCCAGCACUAUGUUUUUCAAUCCUCUUAGCAUCAGAAUAAUCCAAGGAGCUUAAAAACGUACACACGUAAAACGAUGUGGGAACGUCACCCCCAGGAAUUCUGAUUCUGCUCUUCUAGGGUCAGACACAAGCACAGGGGAGGCAGCAGUUGGUGAAGAAAUAGGAAGUAUAAUAGAUGGGAGAACCAUGUCCUCAUAUGCUAUGUCAGGAUGUCAGCAGAUUACGUCAGAAAUCGUUUCACAGGUUGAGAAGAAGAAAUGUACUCAAAGAGCUGUACUUAAGGAAUUAAAACUGAGGCACCCCAACUGCACCUGGACCUGAUUUAGAUGACAAGAUUUUGGAUAUUGAGCUCACACUGCAAUGGGAAGAGACUUUGCAGUCCUUGGAGGGACUAGGAGCUGAAGAAGGCAGCUACCUGGAAAUGCCAAUGGAAGCUGACCAAAAAAGCCCCAACAAAAGUCUGCUCUCUCUACCAAAAUGACCAAGAAAGAGGAAGCCUAGCAAGACUAAAACCUUUCAGACAAUAACCACUUGACUGUAGCCAAACACCACAGAAAAAACUAUGACCUCGUCCUCACCACCAAAGACAGAAUGGGGAGCCUAGACUUCCACCCUUGACAGGGUGUAAUGAGGCAUCCCAUGAUGGACCCCUCAAGGCUCCAUCUCCUACCAGGGUGAUGUUGGAGACAAACUGGGAGCUGGGAUUUUUAUCCCCAGAGGGUGGUAAUGAGUCCUCAUCCAUCCCCCACUGCCACCACCACCACCACCACUGCAGUAUCAAUGGUGACCACAUGAGGAGCCUAGGCUUUCAUCCCCUGCUGGCUGUAAUGAAGUAUAUCUUUCCUAUCCCACUGGGAUGGUGUCAGAGGAGGCCUAGUGGAGAGUUAGGACUUUCUACAUCACCCAGCAGUAAUGAGGCCAAAUCCACACUAAUAGUUUCAGCAACCAUUAAAAAGGCUACAUAGAGAGAUGUAAAUCAAAGUGGGCUUCUACUAUAUGUUCAAGUAACCCAUAGGAAGAUAGAGGACCAACCCCUACUCCUCCCCUGCACAGAGAUGCAGAAAUUAGUGAACAAACAAAAGAAAAAAACAUACAAACAGAUUUAAACCCUCAACAUAACAAUAAUAAAUUAAAUGUAAAUAGCCCAAACAUACCAAUUUAAAGACAGAGAUUGACAGAAUGAAUUUAAAAAUAUGACCGAACUAUAUGCUGUUAUAAGAAACUUAUUUCAAAUAUAAUGAUACAGGCAAACUGAAAGCAAAGGGAUGAAAAAAGACAUAAUAUGAAAAUAUU
Molecule: long non-coding RNA, 1452 nt
Organism: Nomascus leucogenys (northern white-cheeked gibbon)
Lineage: Eukaryota; Metazoa; Chordata; Mammalia; Primates; Hylobatidae
Exons: 4
Source: RefSeq, a predicted model, not a curated record